CAGUAGCCGCGGGAAUACGAAGGGUGCAAGCGUUAAUCGGAAUUACUGGGCGUAAAGCGUGCGUAGGCGGUUUGUUAAGUCUGUUGUGAAAUCCCCGGGCUCAACCUGGGAAUGGCAAUGGAUACUGGCAAGCUAGAGUGUGUCAGAGGAUGGUGGAAUUCCCGGUGUAGCGGUGAAAUGCGUAGAUAUCUGGAGGAAUACCGGUGGCGAAGGCGGCCAUCUGGGACAACACUGACGCUGAUGCACGAAAGCGUGGGGAGCAAACAGGAUUAGAUACCCCAGUAGUCCCUGUCUCUUAUAA
This 301-nucleotide ribosomal RNA is filed under the name uncultured bacterium. RNAcentral's name for it is "partial 16S ribosomal RNA". It matches the Rfam family "Bacterial small subunit ribosomal RNA", at positions 509 to 809 of the family's 1533-position model. The record is from RNAcentral.